AAGUCUGCUGUUAAAGAGUCUGGGGUCGAAUAAAGCAGUGGAAACUACAGAACUAGAGUGCGUCGGGGGAGAAGGAAUUCCUGGUGUAGCGGUGAAAUGCGUAGAUAUCAGGAAGAACACCGGUGGCGAAAGCGUUCUGCUUGGCCGCAACUGACACUGAGGGACGAAAGCUAGGGGAGCGAAUGGGAUUAGAUACCCCAGUAGUCCUAGCCGUAAACGAUGGAUACUAGGCGUGGCUUGUAUCGACCCGAGCCCGUGCCGGAGCUAACGCGUUAAGUAUCCCGCCUGGGGGAGUACGCACGCAAGUGUGAAACUCAAAGGAAUUGACGGGGGCCCGCACAAGCGGUGGAGUAUGUGGUUUAAUUCGAUGCAACGCGAAGAACCUUACCAAGACUUGACAUCCUGCGAAUCCUGGUGAAAGCUAGGAGUGCCUUCGGGAGCGCAGAGACAGGUGGUGSAUGGCUGUCGUCAGCUCGUGUCGUGAGAUGUUGGGGUUAAGUCCCCSCAMCGAGCGCAACCCUCGUUUUUUAGUUGCCAGCAUUAGGUUGGGCACUCUAGAGAGACUGCCGGUGACAAACCGGAGGAAGGUGAGGAUGACGUCAAGUCAGCAUGCCCCUUACGUCUUGGGCUACACACGUACUACAAUGCUACGGACAAAGGGCAGCUACACAGCGAUGUGAUGCAAAUCUCAUAAACCGUAGCUCAGUUCAGAUCGAAGGCUGCAACUCGCCUUCGUGAAGGAGGAAUCGCUAGUAAUUGCAGGUCAGCGUGCUGCAGUGAAUUCGUUCCCGGGCCUUGUACACACCGCCCUCCACCAUGGAAGUUGGUCACGCCAAAAGUCAUUACCCCAACCGAAAGGAGG
Molecule: ribosomal RNA, 862 nt
Filed under: Trichormus fertilissimus BTA35
Lineage: Bacteria; Bacillati; Cyanobacteriota; Cyanophyceae; Nostocales; Nostocaceae
Description: bacterial SSU rRNA
Rfam family: Bacterial small subunit ribosomal RNA
Source: RNAcentral